Molecule: unclassified non-coding RNA, 213 nt
Filed under: Pseudomonas migulae
Lineage: Bacteria; Pseudomonadati; Pseudomonadota; Gammaproteobacteria; Pseudomonadales; Pseudomonadaceae
Description: Pseudomonas sRNA P29
Source: RNAcentral
AAACUACAAGGGGAGCCGAAGCUCCCCAAGAAGUAGUUGCAUGUUCUAUUUUUGUUAUUGGUUUCGGGCUUCUUGUUUUUGUUGAGUGCCCGCGUCAUGAAGUUUUCCUUCAUGACCCUCCCAAUCGGGAGCCAAGAGCAAACGGAUUGCUUUGGUCGCUGUGCUGCAGUGAUCUUGCGAUCCAACCAGUUCAGGCUCUGUCUCAAGACAGUU